GGCCCGAUGGUCAAGUGGUUAAGACACUGCCCUUUCACGGCGGUAACAUGGGUUCAAAUCCCGUUCGGGUCA
Lactobacillus selangorensis is the source of this 72-nucleotide transfer RNA. It matches the Rfam family "tRNA". Rfam says of the family: Transfer RNA (tRNA) molecules are approximately 80 nucleotides in length. Their secondary structure includes four short double-helical elements and three loops (D, anti-codon, and T loops). NCBI's taxonomy places the organism in Bacteria, Bacillati, Bacillota, Bacilli, Lactobacillales, Lactobacillaceae. The record is from Rfam.